RNAcentral lists this transfer RNA (75 nucleotides) under Alphaproteobacteria bacterium. RNAcentral describes it as "tRNA-Thr". It matches the Rfam family "tRNA". From Rfam's summary of the family: Transfer RNA (tRNA) molecules are approximately 80 nucleotides in length. Their secondary structure includes four short double-helical elements and three loops (D, anti-codon, and T loops). Further hydrogen bonds mediate the characteristic L-shaped molecular structure. tRNAs have two regions of fundamental functional importance: the anti-codon, which is responsible for specific mRNA codon recognition, and the 3' end, to which the tRNAs corresponding amino acid is attached (by aminoacyl-tRNA synthetases). tRNAs cope with the degeneracy of the genetic code in two manners: having more than one tRNA (with a specific anti-codon) for a particular amino acid; and 'wobble' base-pairing, i.e. permitting non-standard base-pairing at the 3rd anti-codon position. The record is from RNAcentral. Lineage: Bacteria; Pseudomonadati; Pseudomonadota; Alphaproteobacteria.
GCCGCUGUAGCUCAGGGGUAGAGCAGGUCAUUCGUAAUGACAAGGUCGGGAGUUCAAUUCUCUUCAGCGGCACCA